UACGUAGGGUGCAAGCGUUGUCCGGAAUUAUUGGGCGUAAAGAGCUCGUAGGCGGUUUGUCGCGUCGAAUGUGAAAACCCGGGGCUCAACCCCGGGCCUGCAUUCGAUACGGGCAGACUAGAGUUCGGUAGGGGAGUCUGGAAUUCCUGGUGUAGCGGUGAAAUGCGCAGAUAUCUGGAGGAACACCGGUGGCGAAGGCGGCAUCCUGGACCGGUAUUGACGCUGAGGCGCGAAAGCUAGGGGAGCAAACGGG
Molecule: ribosomal RNA, 253 nt
Filed under: uncultured bacterium
Lineage: Bacteria
Description: partial 16S ribosomal RNA
Rfam family: Bacterial small subunit ribosomal RNA
Source: RNAcentral